UAAUACUUCAUGGCAUUAGCAGUAAUGGCAAUAGCAGUCAUAACAAUGGUCUUUAUGGCAAACAUUCUGUAUAAGAAAUAUUCUAUAAAUGGGAAGCACUAUUAAUAACACCCUUGGGAUAUUGUGGCUUUUAUGUGAGAGAGAACCAAAGAACAUCUGGAUUUUUCCAUGUCACUUUUGUUCUUAAAUAAUAAUUAUGUCUUCUCAGACCAAUUUUUAUUGUAUAUGCUGAUUUUUUUCUUCUCUUCCUACCUUCCUUAUUCUUAAAGAGUUUGGUGUUUGGAAGAACAAUCAAGUUAAUAAGGGUAUGUCAAGUUCUUAUUUGCCACAGCCUCUCACAGUUCUGGGAGAGCAGUCCCAGGUGUCCCGGAGACAGGGAAGAGAAUUACACAUAAUCUUAGUUUGGGACCAUAGAAGCAGCAUUGCACUGACUCCACCUUUGUUUGCACAACCAACGCCUACAAAUGUUUCAGGCAUACAAUAUCAUUUAAUCUAUGUUGGAGUUGGGUUGGGAUGCUUUACAGAGGGUUACUGAAUAGAAAUGAGGCUCAGACUAUGUGCCUAAGAAUUGCUCAGGAUGUGUGUGAAGGGGUGGUGGGAAUGCUUUUUCCUCACUGCUGAAGUUUCCUUUCAUGUGGAGGGAUAUAAAUUAGAGUGGUAUUUCUACCCUUGGCUUGUCAGCAGAAGUAAAGUGGCCUACUUGUGAUUUUCAAAGGAGAAACAUGGCAUAUUAGUCCAGGUGAUCCUGCCACUUCCUCAUGAGAUUUAGAUGGCCUCCAAGCUUACAUUCUCUUCAUUCCAGAAGCCUGCACCCAGGGGUGAGCCUUUCUGGCUGGCAUUACCUGUGACUGAGAGGAUGCUUUUCUAAUUCUGGGGCUCAACAUCAGAAAACAGGCUUACAAACAUGAACUACCUCUUCUAAUCUAAAUCUCAAAAGUAAGAUUUAUGAUGUAUGUUGAGUCGUUUUUCUUGCUUCUCAAUUGAUUUAGAACUCAGGAGAUGAAGAGUGUCACUGAGGCUCCCAACAAGAAUAGAGUUUGUUAAACAAUACUGAUAAUUAGACUUCACCCCUAGACAUUUUGCUUUAGUAGGUCUAAGGGUAGACAACUCCUAGAAAUCUUUAUUUUUAACAAGAUUCCAGGUAGGAAUGCAGUAGGCUCCCAGGCUGACUCUGGAAACAUUUUUAGGUGUAUUUAGGAGAGACUGUGAUGCCCCAGCAUCAAGAAGAUUUUUAAAUGGAGCACUCUAAAUUCCUGUAAAUUCAUGAAUUCAUCUAGUUCUCUACAUUAGAAUUUUUUAUUUAAUUUUUGGUAAAAUUAUAUAGCAAAAAUUAAUAUUUAUUGAGAAGCUAUUUUUAUUAGUCACAUUUUCACAAUAAUUUUACAUUAUUCUAACCUUUAAAAUAAUUAUAAAGGCAUGCAUUUUUUUACUCCAAAUUUCUCCAGAUGAGGAAUCCAGGCCCAAAGAAAUCUAAUGACUUUCUUAAAACUUUACAGGCAACUAAAUGACAGCUAUAGGGUUUGGACCCACAUCUGUUCGGCUCAGUGUUUUUUCCGCUACACUACUUUGCCUUCUCAUUUAUACCUAUAUGUAUUAUCAGUAGAUCCAAAGAACUAGAGUUUCUUCUACCUUACAAUAUAAUAUCCAAAAAAUCUGUUUUAUUCCAGUAUCAAAUUGUCUCCAGAUCAUGGUUGGUACUUACAAUAUUCUCUAAAUAAUAUAGUAUAUCUUCAUUGAGACAGUGCAUGGAUGAAUUAAAAGAUAUAAAUUCAUGUGAGAUAAAUUCAUGUGACUCCAUAUUCUCUUUCCAAUGAUGUAUAAUUGUUAAUAAACAAACCAUGGCUUCUUUUCAUUACCUCAUUUUCUAUAUAGUGAUCAAAAGUGAAAGUUAUUAAUUUGGUAGUACUUCCCUUCGUGGCUCAGUGGUUAACGAACCCGACUAGGAUCCAUGAGGAUGGAGGUUCGAUCCCUGGCUUCACUCAGUGGGUUGGGGAUUCGGCAUUGCUGUGAGCUGUGGUGCAUGUCACAGACACUGCUCGGAUCCCACAUUGCUGUGGCUGUGGCAUAAGCUGGCGGCUGCAGCUCAAAUUGGACCCUAACCUGGGAACCUCCAUAUGCCACCAGUGCGGACCUAAAAAAAGCAAAAAAAAAAAAAAAAAAAAAA
This 2164-nucleotide long non-coding RNA is filed under the name Sus scrofa (pig). RNAcentral describes it as "lncRNA (ENSSSCG00000056157.1)". The record is from RNAcentral. Lineage: Eukaryota; Metazoa; Chordata; Mammalia; Artiodactyla; Suidae.